UGGAUAUUAGUUAAAAAAUAACAAUUAAAUUGCAUUUAAAAAUUAAUUUAAAUUAAUUAUAUCU
This 64-nucleotide transfer RNA is filed under the name Cerceris sp. SJW-2017. Its description in RNAcentral is "tRNA-Ala". Lineage: Eukaryota; Metazoa; Arthropoda; Insecta; Hymenoptera; Crabronidae. The record is from RNAcentral.